GUUCAGGUAGCUCAGCUGGUUUGAGAAAAGGCUGAAAAUCCUUGUGUCAGUGGUUCAAAUCCAUUUCUAAGCA
This 73-nucleotide transfer RNA is filed under the name Solanum tuberosum (potato). It matches the Rfam family "tRNA". Rfam says of the family: Transfer RNA (tRNA) molecules are approximately 80 nucleotides in length. Their secondary structure includes four short double-helical elements and three loops (D, anti-codon, and T loops). Further hydrogen bonds mediate the characteristic L-shaped molecular structure. tRNAs have two regions of fundamental functional importance: the anti-codon, which is responsible for specific mRNA codon recognition, and the 3' end, to which the tRNAs corresponding amino acid is attached (by aminoacyl-tRNA synthetases). tRNAs cope with the degeneracy of the genetic code in two manners: having more than one tRNA (with a specific anti-codon) for a particular amino acid; and 'wobble' base-pairing, i.e. permitting non-standard base-pairing at the 3rd anti-codon position. Lineage: Eukaryota; Viridiplantae; Streptophyta; Magnoliopsida; Solanales; Solanaceae. The record is from Rfam by way of RNAcentral.